Molecule: non-coding RNA, 1282 nt
Organism: Elaeis guineensis (African oil palm)
Lineage: Eukaryota; Viridiplantae; Streptophyta; Magnoliopsida; Arecales; Arecaceae
Source: RefSeq, a predicted model, not a curated record
UUAAUUUUUCAUAAAUAGAAAUUUUGUUCACGGUUAAUUUUAAUUUUGCGUGUCGAGGGUUACGGGGUGGCCCGUUGCCCAUGGCAUCCAGAGCCAAGGAAGUUCAGACGUGAAGAUUUAUUUCAAAUUUCCAAUCUCCAUAUUUCUCCCAGAGAUCACACAGAGACCUUUGUCUCUCUCUCUCUCUCUCUCGCUCAGGCAGAAUGGAAGCCGCAUCGCGGUGCUACUGCCACGCCCAUCUCUCGUUCUUGAUGAAGAAGAACGCAGCGGCUCCUUUUCCGGGUAGCGAGAGAAGAUCCAAGUACUCGGGCCAGUCCGUUAGAGCAAUUCCUGUACGGGUAUUGACGGUGGGCAAGAAGAGGUCUCAAGGGGUCCAACUUCUAGUCGAAGAGUACAAGGAGAAGCUCAAAAACUAUUGCAGCAUUGAGGACGUUCUCAUCAAAUCUAAUCCAAAGAAUACUGGCAACGUGAAGGCCCAGAUCCAAGCUGAAGACAUGCUUAUCAUGCAGCAAAUUAAGCCUGGAGAAUGGGUUGUUGUGUUGGAUGAACAUGGAGCAGACAUUAGAUCUGAGCAAAUGGCCGACUUGGUAGGAGAUGCAGUGACAACAGGAUCAUCAAGACUUGUGUUUUGCAUUGGUGGUCCAUAUGGUCAUGGGCUGCAAGUGCGCGAGCGUGCUGAUGUGAUCAUUAGAUUGUCCUCCAUGGUUCUAAAUCACCAGAUUGCAUUAAUAGUGCUACUGGAGCAACUGUACCGAGCAUGGACUAUUAUCAAAGGGCAGAAGUACCACCACUAACAUAGGCCAACAAAGUCAAAUAAAAGUUCGUGGGGUUUCCUAGUGGAAAUGUCGAGCAAAAAUAUUCUUGCUAGCUGUCUUUGCAGGCAAAGACCGAUGAUCCAGGAGGUGAGCAUGUUGCUUACGAGUUUCUGGGAUUACGAGCUUCCAAAGGAGAUAACAGUUUUCCCAGGACAAACAUAUAUUAAGCAAGUUAUACGUUUAAAGUUUAAAAGCACAAAUCAGAGAAAUGAUCUUGCCAAAAGAGGGGAAGAUGGAACAAUAUGAGAGGCUCGAUACUGAAAUGUAAUAACAUGACAGUAUUUUUUUUUUUUUUUAACUAGAAUUCAGAAUUGGUUGCUCAGAAAUUGGAAUGGGGCAACCGUUUAUACUUCCUUUUCACUGAAUAUAAACUAAAAUAUCAGUAGUUUCUGAUAAUUCAUUACCAGAAUUCAGAAUGCUAUAACAUCAUGCCAGGACAUCAAAAGUCGCUGAUGAUUUCUUAACUU